CCACGUUUGUGUUUGUGUGUGUUUCAGCCAAAAGCCUGCUCCCAUCAUGACUCCAUAUUCUUAAUAGUGAACGACAUCUUCAGGUCCAUAGGCACAGGAAGAUGUUGGGGGUGCUGAGGAUUUGUUUGUCCACACCUUCACCCUGUGCUUUCUCAGGCAACUGGCAGCCCUCCAGCCUCAGAGAUGUCCCAGGAGGCGUAGCCAGAACACCUAGCCUGGGUCACUGCAUCUCUACAGAGACUCACUGAGGAAGAGGAAGA
Coregonus clupeaformis (lake whitefish) is the source of this 260-nucleotide long non-coding RNA. RefSeq lists it as uncharacterized. The record is from RefSeq and is a predicted model, not a curated record. Lineage: Eukaryota; Metazoa; Chordata; Actinopteri; Salmoniformes; Salmonidae. The transcript has 3 exons.